RNAcentral lists this transfer RNA (61 nucleotides) under Cicadetta abscondita. Its description in RNAcentral is "tRNA-Glu". The record is from RNAcentral. Lineage: Eukaryota; Metazoa; Arthropoda; Insecta; Hemiptera; Cicadidae.
AUUUAUAAAGUUUAUAAAACAUUUCAUUUUCAUUGAAAAGAUAGACUUAGUCUUAUAAAUA